This is a long non-coding RNA of Rosa rugosa (rugosa rose), 553 nucleotides long. RefSeq lists it as uncharacterized. Lineage: Eukaryota; Viridiplantae; Streptophyta; Magnoliopsida; Rosales; Rosaceae. The transcript has 4 exons. The record is from RefSeq and is a predicted model, not a curated record.
CUAUAAGUCAGAAACCCUAAUGACGCGAUAUAAAUAGGUUCUCAUAGCCUCACUUCUCACUUCGUCAGUUCCUCUCUCUCUCUUCCGCCUCUCUUCCUCCAGACCUCCAUGGCUCCAUCACACAGGCACAUCGCACACAUACCAUCACACUUCGUCAGUUGAUGUCGUCGUCACCGGCGCUAUCAACUAUAUUAUCGAGUGAUGGGUUCGUCAACACCAUCUUCUAGGUCCAGAUCGACCAUCUUCGGCAGAAGCUUAGGUCGAGUACAGGGCCGACGAGAUCGGAAGAGUCCGGCAUCCCCAAUGAAUAUCUUCGUAGAAAGAAUGAGAAGCUCAUGUUGUCUGUUCCUUGGCAAUAUGGAGGAUUGAAGGCAUAGAGCUUUACAGUUGAUUGAAACUGGAGCUGAUGAAGAUGAGUCAGAGGGCUCAUAUUCAGAAUGCAAUGGUGUUUUUGUGAGUGUGCUGAGCUGAAUCCUGAAUCAACUGAAGAAAAUGAAGAAGAAGAGCAUAAUUGAGUUUUUAGUGCUGACCAGUUGGAAGAUGAGGCAACAGG